This 632-nucleotide ribosomal RNA is filed under the name Salmonella enterica subsp. enterica serovar Newport. RNAcentral describes it as "partial 23S ribosomal RNA". It matches the Rfam family "Bacterial large subunit ribosomal RNA", at positions 911 to 1544 of the family's 2925-position model. Lineage: Bacteria; Pseudomonadati; Pseudomonadota; Gammaproteobacteria; Enterobacterales; Enterobacteriaceae. The record is from RNAcentral.
UGUUUCGGCUAGGGGGCCAUCCCGGCUUACCAACCCGAUGCAAACUGCGAAUACCGGAGAAUGUUAUCACGGGAGACACACGGCGGGUGCUAACGUCCGUCGUGAAGAGGGAAACAACCCAGACCGCCAGCUAAGGUCCCAAAGUCAUGGUUAAGUGGGAAACGAUGUGGGAAGGCCCAGACAGCCAGGAUGUUGGCUUAGAAGCAGCCAUCAUUUAAAGAAAGCGUAAUAGCUCACUGGUCGAGUCGGCCUGCGCGGAAGAUGUAACGGGGCUAAACCAUGCACCGAAGCUGCGGCAGCGACACUGUGUGUUGUUGGGUAGGGGAGCGUUCUGUAAGCCUGUGAAGGUGGCCUGUGAGGGUUGCUGGAGGUAUCAGAAGUGCGAAUGCUGACAUAAGUAACGAUAAAGCGGGUGAAAAGCCCGCUCGCCGGAAGACCAAGGGUUCCUGUCCAACGUUAAUCGGGGCAGGGUGAGUCGACCCCUAAGGCGAGGCCGAAAGGCGUAGUCGAUGGGAAACAGGUUAAUAUUCCUGUACUUGGUGUUACUGCGAAGGGGGGACGGAGAAGGCUAUGUUGGCCGGGCGACGGUUGUCCCGGUUUAAGCGUGUAGGCUGGUUUUCCAGGCAAAUCCG